UGUCCUGUUGAGUGGAGGUGUCGACGCGUGCUCCAUUUUGGCUCCUGAAAUCUUGCUUUUGUAGCGUCUAGUGCACAAUGACCUAUAAACGGAGGGCUCGGAAGACAAAGGAAGCCAAUUUGGCACGCGGUCGCCGUCUUUGGCAGGAAAGGAGAGCCGCUGUAGCGCAAGGGAGAGUUAUAUCAAGUGAGGAUGUAGGCGGCCUCCCCGCCUCACGCCUCGACCCUCCUCACACACCCUCCUCAACCCAGCCCCUCCAUGUGUAUGGACCGGCCACGACAGUGCCAUCUACAUCUACUGGUGUGGCAGUGCCAUCUACAUCUACUGAUGUGGCAGUGCCAUCUACAUCUACUGGUGUGGCAGUGCCAUCUACUGGUGUGGCUGGUGUUGCAGUGCCAUCUACUGCUGUGCCUGAUGUUGCAGUGCCAUCUACUGUUUCAAUAGACCAAUUUCAAUAGGGGAUGUGCAUGGAACUUGCACACCUUGCUCAAUGGAUGCCUAUCUGCAAGGGUGCCAAUUAUGAACAAAAUCUGUUGAAGUCAAGCUCAGUUACAGGUGGCCGAACUUUGAUCUUAUUUUACUCAGGGUGUGAUGGUGAAACUUGGACCAGUUGCAGCCCUUUCUAUAACCAUUUCAUAAAUAAAUUUAUAAGCAAAUCAAACAAUUUUUAAUUUAACCUUGAUAUGCCCCCUAAAG
Procambarus clarkii (red swamp crayfish) is the source of this 696-nucleotide long non-coding RNA. RefSeq lists it as uncharacterized. NCBI's taxonomy places the organism in Eukaryota, Metazoa, Arthropoda, Malacostraca, Decapoda, Cambaridae. The record is from RefSeq and is a predicted model, not a curated record.